AGACGGCCUGGGUAGGAGAUACUCAUGAUCACGAAGGUGGCUUUCCAGGCGAGGCUUAUGCAUUGCACUUCCGGAUGUGUUGACUUCGCGAUUUCCCCAUCGGGAAACUCUCGACUGCAUAAUUUGUGGUAGCGGGGACUGCGUUCAGCUUCCCUGA
Molecule: non-coding RNA, 157 nt
Organism: Chlorocebus sabaeus (green monkey)
Lineage: Eukaryota; Metazoa; Chordata; Mammalia; Primates; Cercopithecidae
Source: RefSeq, a predicted model, not a curated record